Long non-coding RNA from Gadus morhua (Atlantic cod), 4079 nucleotides. Lineage: Eukaryota; Metazoa; Chordata; Actinopteri; Gadiformes; Gadidae. The record is from Ensembl.
AAAACAAAGUCAGAAAAAACAAUUAACAGAGUUGUUUUUUGUUUUUCUGUUUCGGGUUUAAAAACCAACACACAAAACUCACAAACGCAAAUAAAAUGCCGUUUAUAACCCCCGCCCCCUGCCCCCGGCGUAAAAGCAGUUCUAGUUCUAGCCCAGCUCAAUGCUGGGGCUGGAGUUGAACCGUUUUUUUAGAGGCCGGAGCCGGUUCUCUGGCGGUGUGAAACCAAAACACUGGCCCUAGCUCCGAACUAGCCCGGAACGGGCUCCGAUUUUGCGGCGGUGUGAAAGGCCCAUCAGAGGCCCUGGUAGGUCCUGCUGUUCUCUCCCAUCUGUGUUUGAUGCUUUUUACAAACAUUGCCUCUCUCGACCUCUCUCUACGUCAUGGCUCAAGCAUGCUCAACAGCUUUGGUUGAACGCUCUCUGCGCCUCCGGCUGGGCGUUAGGGUUCCUUGGGGUUUGUCGAUCCGGUCCGUCAGGAAGUACACAGAAGGAAUUUAAUGUUAUGUUUUUGUGAUGAAGUGUUCACCAAUGAGAAUGGGCCCAGAAAAAAGGGCUCUACUACGACGACACCUACUCCCCUAUACAGCUGCCAACCUUCUGGCAAUCGAGACUUUAUUGCAGUUCGAGCAGGUUGAUUGUGUAUUCUCUCUCACGGACAUCCGAGCAUCUCCAGCCAACAGGAUGCCCUGCGCUGUCUUAUCCAUCCUGGUGAUCUUUGUGUGUCUCGCACCGAUACUGGAAACACUGAGCAGCACACUGGAUGACCGAAUGAAGAUGAUUCAAGUUAUUGAAUUGGAGUUCAAUUCCCUGAAGGACUACUACAAUACCCGGAAGGAAGCCGUCGCUGAAGAGUUCAAAGAGAUUGAAAGAGAACUGGACGCUACAUCGGCCAUAUUACAACAAAGCAGUGGGCCACAUUUUGAGGCCAGCAAGAAGAACUCUGAGACACUGAAGGAGUGGUACACUGAAACUAAAGAUACAUUUCUCCUGUUCACUGAAGUCUUUGACAACGCGUAUGAGUUCUUCCAGAAGGGAAUCGAGGAAGUCAAAGACCUUGUCCAUGAAAACGAGGACCACUUCAAUACUCGGAUGGACGCGCUCGCAGAAGAGUUCAAAGAGAUUGAAAGAGAACUGGAAGCUUCAUUGGCCAUGUUACAUCAAGGCAGAAGGCCCAAGUUUGUGGCAAGCAAGAAUUACCUUGAGAACCUGAGGGAGUGGUACUCUGAAACUAAAGAUAAAUUUCUCCUGUUCACUGAAGUCUUUGACAACGCGUAUGAGUUCAUCCAUAAGGGAAUCGAGGGAGUCAAAGACUUUUUCCGUGAAACCGAGGGGAACAAAGAUGAAUUAUAAUCACACCUUAUUAACAUUAGCAUUAGUUAUACAGUAAUAAGCAUUAUUAUAUGGCAUUAGAAUAGGGGUGAGUGGGUUCUUCAUCGCUGAUGCGUCACUGCGUCACACACAGGAUGAUGGAGGGUGGAACCUGUUGGCCCGUGUCAGAAAGUGUCAGUCAGGGUCAGAGAGUUUAGGUUUCUGACUGCUUUAUUGGUUAGUUUUUGUGGUCAUAUUUAGGAUUAACUGAGUGAACAUCUGUUCAAAUGUCAUGAUUUUUGGGGUUUUGGGUCUUUCUUUUCACAAUAUCUCUUCUGUCUGAGUUUGUAUACAGAUCUUGUAAACUCUCCCUAAUUACUGGUAAAUAUACGAAUAGAUAAAUGUUUUUGUCAUAUCUUGGUAUUCUCAUUUGUUUGGAGUAUUAUUUUUUUUUGCCUUGUGAAAAAGUAUAGAAGAGAAGCUGAUAUUUAUUUGGCAACAGACUUUGACAAACCGAAUGCAGGUCUCUGAACACGCCCUAGCCUUAAGAGAAAUGCAGACUCCCGUACAAACACAACAAACUAAAACAUGGGAACAAAAUAACAAGUGGAAAUCUAGUUGAACGUUCACUGAUGUGAUUAUUGUUACUAUAUUAUGCUAUUUACCAUUUUAUCGCAAAUACCAAAUAUAUAUAUGUUAAUCUCUCGCAUUUUGGUGGAGUGCAUUCGAUGUCCCAAUUUGGACAAAUGUAAACGCAAGAACAACAGAAGAAUCUUUAUAGGUUUAGGUUUAGGUGUGGUCGCUCAGUGCUUUGCAAAACCAAAACAAACAAAAGCUCUCAAUCAUUCAAAGCCGGUCUGCCUCGAUAUGGAACUACUCUGUGCUGAAGGUCUUGUGCGCAGUUCUUAGUAACUUAGUAACAACAAGCGGUAAGCAGGCCCAUAUUAACACGAUACACCCCCCCCCCCCCCCCCCCCCAAUACACACCAAAAAUAUCAGACCUAAGCAAGGGGAUUUCUUCAAUGUAAUUGACUAACUUGUCCAACCACAUACAUGUAGGCAUAUGAUCAAUGAGCAAUGUAUUCCAAUGUCUCAAUUCAAAAUGUCUAUCAAUUCAAAAAGCACAGCGCUCAAAUCAAAACAGAAAAAUCAAUUUAAUGUUUUUGACCCUUUUGAUCUACUCCUCAUAUAGGCGUGUAACUCCUUCAAUAUCUCAAGUGGCAUUUUCGUAUUUCUCACACUGAUCUCUCUGCGAUACAAGAACGCAGUGACUCCAAAAGACGUUCUGCAUUGUCUAAAGUUAUGUCGUGAUUUAUGAGUCGUGAAGGUCGAAUCAUAUAAAGUGGUUUGUCUUUGAGUUUGUGUCAGUGUGUACGUGUGCGUGUGCGUCUGUGUAGGUGAGCGUGUGUUUUGUUGAUGUGUUGCUCAAUGGGUAGUAUUACGUAUGCAUGUUUUCCAUGUUUCCAUUGUUUGAUCAUGUUUGGCAUUUCAUUUACCCAUUAUAAUAUAUAGAAAAUAGACAAUUAGAUAUAGAUAAUAUAUCAUUACUGCCAACAAAUAGCUUUGGUUAAUCAAUCUAAUGCUACGUUCAAUGCCAAAUGUUAAAUGCUAAUGCCAUAUGCUACGUGCUGUGUGUGAAAUGAAAAGUGAUAAAAAAAUAUAGUGUUAAUGCUAAAUGCAUUGUGUUACAUGUUACAGGCUUUGUGCGGUAUACUACAUUCUCUGUCCAUAAUGCUCACGAUAAACAAAAUUUUCUAAAUGUGGUCUGAUAAAUGAUAUAUGCUAAAGGCUAUGGGUUGAAUGCCAAAUGCUUUGUGCUUUAUGCUAAAUACUUUUGAUAGAUGACAUGCUAUGGGCUUUGUGCUGUUUGCUAAAUGAUCUUUCCAAAAUGCAAUCUGAUUCCGUCUGAUAAAUUAUACAUGCUAAAGGGUAUUUGUUGAAUGCUAAAUGCUUUGUGCUGUAUGCUAAAUACUUUGUGAUAGAUUAUAUGUUCUAAAUGUUAGCAGCUAAAUGCUAUGUGCUAAAUGCUUACGGGGCUAAAUGCUGUUGCUGUUACAGUUGAAAGACUGAGUCAGAUGAGAGAUGGAAACAGGUCAAAGAUCGUAAGCCAAAGAUCAAUGGCGUGUGUGUGUGUGUGAAUAAUGGCUGUCCAUUUCAGGUCACCACUUACCACAGGGGAUUACAUCAGGAGUGUGUGUGUGUGUGUGUGUGUGUGUGUGUGUGUGUGUGUGUGUGUGUGUGUGUGUGUGUGUGUGUGGACUUACACACAGCGACAGCGAGAGAGAGAGGAUGUAGCAAAUACCCAAAUAAAUGUUUUGAACUCGCACUUUUUUCUGGGUAUGAUUCAUCUGUCAGCCAAACAUAAAACUUCACACAAUCACCCAACCACCAUCUCCAACAACCCCCUUAAUUUCCUCACCCAUCUCACACACACACACACACACACACACACACACACACACACACACACACACACACACACACACACACACACACACACACACACACACACACACACACACACACACACACACAUACACACACACACACACACACACACACACACACACACACACACACACACACACAGAAGUGAUUAUGACGGUGGUCAAAGGAUUUUUCCAAUCUAUUUUCAAUGUAUUCACUUCCUCCUGGCCUCAACCAUUGACGUCACGGCCACAGAUCAAUGCACCGGCUCCAAAUCAGAUUUUGACUUCUUGCAUGUUGCAUUGAUUGAAUCAAUGCUUCCUACUUCCAACAGCGGACGCAAG